RNAcentral lists this ribosomal RNA (377 nucleotides) under uncultured cyanobacterium. RNAcentral's name for it is "bacterial SSU rRNA". It matches the Rfam family "Bacterial small subunit ribosomal RNA", at positions 376 to 770 of the family's 1533-position model. The record is from RNAcentral. Lineage: Bacteria; Bacillati; Cyanobacteriota.
CGAAAGCCUGACGGAGCAACGCCGCGUGAGGGAGGAAGGCUCUUGGGUUGUAAACCUCUUUUCUCAAGGAAGAUAAUGACGGUACUUGAGGAAUCAGCAUCGGCUAACUCCGUGCCAGCAGCCGCGGUAAUACGGAGGAUGCAAGCGUUAUCCGGAAUAAUUGGGCGUAAAGCGUUCGUAGGUGGUGAUGUAAGUCUGCUGUUAAAGCGUGUAGCUUAACUACAUAUAGGCGGCGGAAACUACAUGACUAGAGUGCGUUCGGGGCAGAGGGAAUUCCUGGUGUAGCGGUGAAAUGCGUAGAUAUCAGGAAGAACACCGGUGGCGAAGGCGCUCUGCUAGGCCGUAACUGACACUGAGGGACGAAAGCUAGGGGAGCG